AUACGGAGGGGGCUAGCGUUGUUCGGAAUCACUGGGCGUAAAGCGCGCGUAGGCGGAUUGGUCAGUUGGGGGUGAAAUCCCGAGGCUCAACCUCGGAACUGCCUCCAAAACUGCCAGUCUCGAGUCCGGGAGAGGUGAGUGGAAUUCCGAGUGUAGAGGUGAAAUUCGUAGAUAUUCGGAGGAACACCAGUGGCGAAGGCGACUCACUGGCCCGGUACUGACGCUGAGGUGCGAAAGCGUGGGGAGCAAACAGGAUUAGAAACCCUAGUAGUCC
RNAcentral lists this ribosomal RNA (274 nucleotides) under uncultured bacterium. RNAcentral describes it as "partial 16S ribosomal RNA". It matches the Rfam family "Bacterial small subunit ribosomal RNA", at positions 523 to 796 of the family's 1533-position model. The record is from RNAcentral.